RNAcentral lists this ribosomal RNA (1343 nucleotides) under uncultured bacterium. Its description in RNAcentral is "16S ribosomal RNA". It matches the Rfam family "Bacterial small subunit ribosomal RNA", at positions 28 to 1378 of the family's 1533-position model. The record is from RNAcentral.
GACGAACGCUGGCGGCGUGCUUAACACAUGCAAGUCGAACGGAAAGGCCCUGCUUUUGUGGGGUGCUCGAGUGGCGAACGGGUGAGUAACACGUGAGUAACCUGCCCUUGACUUUGGGAUAACUUCAGGAAACUGGGGCUAAUACCGGAUAGGAGCUCCUGCUGCAUGGUGGGGGUUGGAAAGUUUCGGCGGUUGGGGAUGGACUCGCGGCUUAUCAGCUUGUUGGUGGGGUAGUGGCUUACCAAGGCUUUGACGGGUAGCCGGCCUGAGAGGGUGACCGGCCACAUUGGGACUGAGAUACGGCCCAGACCCCUACGGGAGGCAGCAGUGGGGAAUAUUGCACAAUGGGCGGAAGCCUGAUGCAGCAACGCCGCGUGCGGGAUGACGGCCUUCGGGUUGUAAACCGCUUUCGCCUGUGACGAAGCGUGAGUGACGGUAAUGGGUAAAGAAGCACCGGCUAACUACGUGCCAGCAGCCGCGGUGAUACGUAGGGUGCGAGCGUUGUCCGGAUUUAUUGGGCGUAAAGGGCUCGUAGGUGGUUGAUCGCGUCGGAAGUGUAAUCUUGGGGCUUAACCCUGAGCGUGCUUUCGAUACGGGUUGACUUGAGGAAGGUAGGGGAGAAUGGAAUUCCUGGUGGAGCGGUGGAAUGCGCAGAUAUCAGGAGGAACACCAGUGGCGAAGGCGGUUCUCUGGGCCUUUCCUGACGCUGAGGAGCGAAAGCGUGGGGAGCGAACAGGCUUAGAUACCCUGGUAGUCCACGCUGUAAACGGUGGGUACUAGGUGUGGGGUCCAUUCCACGGGUUCCGUGCCGUAGCUAACGCUUUAAGUACCCCGCCUGGGGAGUACGGCCGCAAGGCUAAAACUCAAAGGAAUUGACGGGGCCCCGCACAAGCGGCGGAGCAUGCGGAUUAAUUCGAUGCAACGCGUAGAACCUUACCUGGGUUUGACAUGGAUCGGGAGUGCUCAGAGAUGGGUGUGCCUCUUUUGGGGUCGGUUCACAGGUGGUGCAUGGCUGUCGUCAGCUCGUGUCGUGAGAUGUUGGGUUAAGUCCCGCAACGAGCGCAACCCUUGUUCACUGUUGCCAGCACGUUAUGGUGGGGACUCAGUGGAGACCGCCGGGGUCAACUCGGAGGAAGGUGGGGAUGACGUCAAGUCAUCAUGCCCCUUAUGUCCAGGGCUUCACGCAUGCUACAAUGGCUGGUACAGAGAGUGGCGAGCCUGUGAGGGUGAGCGAAUCUCGGAAAGCCGGUCUCAGUUCGGAUUGGGGUCUGCAACUCGACCUCAUGAAGUCGGAGUCGCUAGUAAUCGAAGAUCAGCAACGCUGCGGUGAAUACGUUCCCGGG